CCUCUUUUCUGAUUCCACACUUGGUGGAAAAAGAUAGAAAACCAAUCCCCCUUUUUUUCCCUUUGUAGGUAAACACAUGAAUGUUGAUUCUCUGCCCAGGAGAUAAACCUUCAUUGUGGCAGUAAUGGAUGCAGCACGCAAACAGGAAAGGAGGCUGAUGCAUUCAUUCUCCAGCAAAAGCCAUCCCAUGAGUGCUGUGUCAAGUGUCCACGCUAAUUGGAAAAAACUACUUUGUGGACUUUGCUGAGUUAGAUGACCUUCUGAUAUGUGCUGAAAGGAUUUCUUGUGCAUCCAAGAGGAUAGUUUCAGGUGGGAACUAUGCUGACCAGAAUGAAUUUUGUUUCCAUUUAUUGGAAGCCCUGCAUACUGAAGCAGCUUUCACAGAUGAAGACUCUAAAGAAGUUCUGGCUAAACCAGAAAACCAGCUACAAGAUCUUAAAGGAACCUGUAUGAUCCAGUGACUCUAAAACUCAGAUGUACAAAGAAGCUGAAUGCCUCACUCUGUGUGGCUUUUUUGAAAAUACAAGGAAAAGGUGCAGCCAAGGUUAAGAAAAAGGUGCAGUGUCCAUUUCUUGGUACCUCUGUGAAAAACACGCACAUGGUUCCUAACCUGAUUUGAUGGUCCCUGAAAUGUGGAUAUAUGCACAGUCCAGCACAGUGGAAUAUUCAUCAAUAAAAUAGGUGUUAUUUAAAUUUUAAGCA
RNAcentral lists this long non-coding RNA (702 nucleotides) under Parus major (Great Tit). Its description in RNAcentral is "lncRNA (ENSPMJG00000018535.1)". The record is from RNAcentral. Lineage: Eukaryota; Metazoa; Chordata; Aves; Passeriformes; Paridae.